GAUGAACGCUAGCUACAGGCUUAACACAUGCAAGUCGAGGGGCAGCAUUUCAGUUUGCUUGCAAACUGGAGAUGGCGACCGGCGCACGGGUGAGUAACACGUAUCCAACCUGCCGAUAACUCGGGGAUAGCCUUUCGAAAGAAAGAUUAAUACCCGAUGGUAUAAUCAGACCGCAUGGUCUUGUUAUUAAAGAAUUUCGGUUAUCGAUGGGGAUGCGUUCCAUUAGGCAGUUGGUGAGGUAACGGCUCACCAAACCUUCGAUGGAUAGGGGUUCUGAGAGGAAGGUCCCCCACAUUGGAACUGAGACACGGUCCAAACUCCUACGGGAGGCAGCAGUGAGGAAUAUUGGUCAAUGGGCGCAGGCCUGAACCAGCCAAGUAGCGUGAAGGAUGACUGCCCUAUGGGUUGUAAACUUCUUUUAUAUGGGAAUAAAGUUUUCCACGUGUGGAAUUUUGUAUGUACCAUAUGAAUAAGGAUCGGCUAACUCCGUGCCAGCAGCCGCGGUAAUACGGAGGAUCCGAGCGUUAUCCGGAUUUAUUGGGUUUAAAGGGAGCGUAGGUGGACAGUUAAGUCAGUUGUGAAAGUUUGCGGCUCAACCGUAAAAUUGCAGUUGAUACUGGCUGUCUUGAGUACAGUAGAGGUGGGCGGAAUUCGUGGUGUAGCGGUGAAAUGCUUAGAUAUCACGAAGAACUCCGAUUGCGAAGGCAGCUCACUGGACUGCAACUGACACUGAUGCUCGAAAGUGUGGGUAUCAAACAGGAUUAGAUACCCUGGUAGUCCACACAGUAAACGAUGAAUACUCGCUGUUUGCGAUAUACAGUAAGCGGCCAAGCGAAAGCAUUAAGUAUUCCACCUGGGGAGUACGCCGGCAACGGUGAAACUCAAAGGAAUUGACGGGGGCCCGCACAAGCGGAGGAACAUGUGGUUUAAUUCGAUGAUACGCGAGGAACCUUACCCGGGCUUAAAUUGCAUUUGAAUAUAUUGGAAACAGUAUAGCCGUAAGGCAAAUGUGAAGGUGCUGCAUGGUUGUCGUCAGCUCGUGCCGUGAGGUGUCGGCUUAAGUGCCAUAACGAGCGCAACCCUUAUCUUUAGUUACUAACAGGUCAUGCUGAGGACUCUAGAGAGACUGCCGUCGUAAGAUGUGAGGAAGGUGGGGAUGACGUCAAAUCAGCACGGCCCUUACGUCCGGGGCUACACGCGUGUUACAAUGGGGGGUACAGAAGGCAGCUACCUGGUGACAGGAUGCUAAUCCCAAAAGCCUCUCUCAGUUCGGAUCGAAGUCUGCAACCCGACUUCGUGAAGCUGGAUUCGCUAGUAAUCGCGCAUCAGCCAUGGCGCGGUGAAUACGUUCCCGGGCCU
RNAcentral lists this ribosomal RNA (1359 nucleotides) under uncultured bacterium. RNAcentral describes it as "bacterial SSU rRNA". It matches the Rfam family "Bacterial small subunit ribosomal RNA", at positions 28 to 1381 of the family's 1533-position model. The record is from RNAcentral.